GAUGCCGUUCGCCAUCGCCGCCGACAAGAGCACGACGCAGGCGAGCACGGCCAGCCUGCCCGCCAUUGCCGCUGCUUCUUCUGCUCUUCAGCGAUCGAUGUCCAAAGGAGAUGCAAAGGUUGCCGCAGAAUAUACGGGCCGGGAGGGAUCAGGCAAGGCUCUUGGGAGAUGGGAGCAAGCAAGCGGACGAGCAGGAGCUGAGUGACAAGUGGUGAAGGGAGAGCUGAUGUGUGGGAGAGGCACAUUGCUGCUGUCGAGCGGCUUUGGCUCCUUUCUUUCCCCUCCUUUGUUGGUUGGCUCAAAAAAGUACAAAUCAGGAACACCCCAGGUCUAGUCGUGAUCGGCCUGCGAGACUGGUGAUCGAGCUGGGCCUGGGCGCCGCCCGAGGAAGGAGAAGGAAGACAGGGAAGUUCCAAAGGAGCAGUCAGCACUGCGUGCCUUGCCAGCAAGGGCAAGCGAUCUAGCGCCAUUCAGAUGGAGUUAUCUUGCCUGCAGGGGCCUACACUGCCUGACCAAACUGAUUAGCAUGCCGAGUUUGAACUAGUAGAAUUAGAAUAGCCAUUGCUGGUGGUACGAGCAGGGCAGGCAUGAUGGCGGCAUGCGUACGGUCCCUGCGGCGUGGCGCCAAUGAUUUCGCUGCAUAUGACGGUUGCUCUGUUGUCUGUUGAUGCCAACAACAAGGUGGCCUGACUGGCUGGCAUCGAUGCUGACUGAGAAAGCAGCAGCGGGAAGGGAAGAAAUAAAACAGUCGGUGACAAGACCAACACCGUACUACGGUCUCUUGUUGGGCCGGUGAUCACAGCUUGGACGGUUGUGACCUCUACCCUCGCCUUGGAAACACCAUCUAGGUUUUUUUUUCCUUUAAAAAAAUUACUCUUGAUAUACGCAACUGCAUGCACACCGAGCUAUUUCUCAUGCUGGUGUGCUAGCUACUGGCCACUAGUAGGUGUAGCAACUGAUGCUGUAUCAUAGUGAAUUC
Panicum hallii is the source of this 979-nucleotide long non-coding RNA. RefSeq lists it as uncharacterized. Lineage: Eukaryota; Viridiplantae; Streptophyta; Magnoliopsida; Poales; Poaceae. The transcript is spliced from 3 exons. The record is from RefSeq and is a predicted model, not a curated record.